GCGGGUGUCGUAUAACGGUUCAUUAUAUCAGCCUUCCAAGCUGAGGACGGGGGUUCGACUCCCCCUACCCGCU
This 73-nucleotide transfer RNA is filed under the name Candidatus Moranbacteria bacterium CG2_30_45_14. Its description in RNAcentral is "tRNA-Gly". It matches the Rfam family "tRNA". From Rfam's summary of the family: Transfer RNA (tRNA) molecules are approximately 80 nucleotides in length. Their secondary structure includes four short double-helical elements and three loops (D, anti-codon, and T loops). Lineage: Bacteria; Candidatus Moraniibacteriota. The record is from RNAcentral. RNAcentral also lists the same sequence under 1 other name.